CUUGAUUUCGAUAGAGCUAUGUGGUCAGCACUUCGAGUAGUAUUACCAGAGGGAAACUCGUAUAGGAAAAGAGACUGGACCAAACUGCGGCUGCAGCAGAGGUCGUAUGGACAAAUAUGACGAUAGGUCCAAAGUCCACAUUUUAAAGAGAUUCAAUGCCCUCGCAGACACAAACCUCCAGAACGUUUACCUUAUCGCUGGCAGACAAGGUCGCGGUGGUAAGUGUUACCAAGAUAACCCUGCCCAUAAAGGACCAACAAUUACAAAUACUUUGUAUCCAAUAAAAAGACAAACAGUAUACAAGUAAGUCAGCCAGCUUUUCAGUUCGUCCAUGGCAUAACUUACCGUCGAGUCAGAACAGUAAGAAGCAAGGAAAGUAACUACAUCACUGACCAGACUGAAGAAGAUAUAGGUACAGACAGAUACAAGACACAGAUCAGUUAAAGUUACUUAAAAAGCUCACUGAAGUAAAAGUCCUUCRAUGUGCUCAAGUGCAUUAUCCCAGAUCUGUUCCAUACUCAAAUGAAGAUUCACACGAGAGGACGCCAGAUUCUCAAAGAUCCAGUGUUAGUAUAAGCUACUUCAUUGGUUACCCUUAAGAUCAAGGAAAAGAGACUACCAAGGCUUCGAAAGAUCAUUUCGCCAACUUCUAAAAGAGCGUUUGUAUUCAACUUCUUCUCUCUAAAAGCCAAGAGCAGAAAUAAAAUCGUGCACUGGUUCCAGAACAAAAGAAGAAAGGAAAAAGAGGGAAAUUAUACACCAGGGGAUUGAGGGGGAGAGGCUAGCCUUAUUCCACAG
This is a long non-coding RNA of Actinia tenebrosa (Australian red waratah sea anemone), 798 nucleotides long. RefSeq lists it as uncharacterized. Lineage: Eukaryota; Metazoa; Cnidaria; Anthozoa; Actiniaria; Actiniidae. The record is from RefSeq and is a predicted model, not a curated record.